Molecule: long non-coding RNA, 587 nt
Organism: Antechinus flavipes (yellow-footed antechinus)
Lineage: Eukaryota; Metazoa; Chordata; Mammalia; Dasyuromorphia; Dasyuridae
Exons: 2
Source: RefSeq, a predicted model, not a curated record
UUAAGAGGUCUGUUUUCUAAAUUCCACAGAUUGAUUAACCUUUAUUUUUUUCAUUUGAUUAUGAUAAUUUCCAAAGUAUGAGGUAGGCACAAGGGUGUCAUAUUAUCAUUGUUUACUCUAUGGAUUAAGAAUAUAUUUCAGUGAUUUCUAGAACUACUUCUCACUCUAACCCACUUGCCUGAAAGCAGCUUUAAAUAUGACUCAAAAUCCUCUGGGGCCCUUUUGGAGCCUGAAAACACUGAAAAGUCCUGGAGCAUGAAAGUGCUAGCAAAAAGCACUAAUCAUCUAUUAACAUGGUUGCAGAAGGAUCAAGCCUAUAUAAGGAAAGUCCUGGUAUCACCUAGGGAAACUCCCCACCACCAUUCGAGAAGAUGGAUCUUACUUGCAAUGUGUUUAGAUUCUACUCAAUGGAUAAAAUAGAAGCCUAAUUAGAAACCUUGCAAAAAUUUUGCAUUCCAAAAACUUAAAUAUUAGUUUCCCAGUUGAUUUUACUACUAGUAAUAGAUUAUUGAAUUCUGUUCUAAUCAUUCUGUAAUUCUUUAUUUUUUUUUUCCUGUGGGAAAAUAAAAUAUUUGUUCUAUACCUGU